UCACUUUGGAUUAAACUUAUUACCCCAGACUUGAGCCAAGAGCUCACCUUCAUCAUGACCACUCAGCUAUUAGCAUCUUGGAGUAUUGCAGUGUAAAUGGAUCAUACAGAAGUUCUUCUGGUUUUAGAAUAAAAUGGCAAAGUUGGAGAGAGCUCCCAUGAAGAUAAUGCUCUAGUCAGGCCUGCAAAUAUUGGCUGAAUAGAUGGUUUGGAUAGAAAGUUUCAAGCAAAGAAUCUGACUAAGUACUAUUAUGAGUUAACUAAAUUGAGGAAAUCUAAAAAUUUCUCAUAAAGUUUCAGAAUGGAAUUAAUUCUUAUGCUACCUUUCAUAGAUGCCCAGUUUCUUAAGAAAUUACCCUUGCUUUUGGACAGUGAGCCACAUCUUGGAUUCAUUCGAGGCCUCUGUGUUGCUCCACUGGAUGAAGCUGACUGCCCUGGCAAUAUGACUGUGACUACGCAGCUUGGAAUGAAGUUUUAAGAAGAAUUCUGGAUUGAUGUAUAGAAGAUGCGAGGAAGCAAGAGACAGACUACAAAAUGAUACUAAGCAGAACUAGAAAGAAAUGUAAUAAUCAUCUUAGUCAACUCACUCAAUUUCUGGUGUCUGGUGUGUGUGUGUGUGUGUGUGUGUGUGUGUGUGUGUGUGUGUAUUAGGGGUGGAGAGCAAGGAAAUUUAGCAGAGAGGUUGCCUAAGGUCACAAGCUAAUUAACAGCAGAAAUAGGCUAGACCUGACUCACAGUUUAGGACUAGAUCCCCUAUAUGAGGGGUCCCCAACCCCCAGGCCACAGAUUGGGACUGGUCUCUGGUCUGGUAGGAACUGGGCCACACAGCAGGAGGUGAGCAGUGAGUGAGUGAGUGAGUGAAGCUUCAUUUGUUUUUACAGCUGCUCCCCAUACCUCCCAUUACCACCUGAGCUCCACCUCCUGUCAGAUCAGCCCUAGCAUUAGAUUCCCAUAGGAGUGCAAAUUCUAUUGUGAAUUCUACAUGGGAGGGAUCUAGGAUCUAGGUUCCACACUCCUUAUGAGAAUCAAAUGCCUGAUGAUCUAUCACUGUCUCCCAUCACCCCCAUAUAGGACUCUCUAGUUGCAGGAAAACAAGUCCAGGACUCCAACUGAUUGUGCCUUAUGGUGAGUUGUAUAAUUAUGUCAUUAUGUAUUACAAUGUGAUAAUAAUAUAAAUAAAGCACACAAUAAAUGUAAUGCACUUAAAUCAUUCCAAAGUAUCCCCCACCCCCCAGGGCCUGUAAAAAAAUUGUCUUCAAUGAAACCCAUUCCUGGUGCCAAAAAGGUUGGAAACCACUGCCCUAUAUCAUUGUUAAGAAUCUAUGGCAACAUCCAGAAGCUAACAAAGGAAGGCCAGAAGUGGGGCCUGACAUUUUAUCCCGAUUAGAAAGCCAUUUGAGAGGAAGUAGAACAUAAGAAUCAAUCAGCCAGGCAUGUUGGCUCACGCCUGUAAUCCCAGCACUUUGGGAGGCUGAAGUGUGUAGGUGGCUUGAGCUCAGGAGUUCAAGACCAGCCCGGGCAACAUGGAGAAACCCUGUCUCUACAAAAAAUCCAAAAAAUUUAGCCAGGUGUGGUGGCCUGUGCCUGUAGUCCCAGCUACUUGGGAGGCUGAGGUGGGAGGAUUGCUUGAAUCCAGGAGGUCAAGGCUGCGGUGAGCCAAGAUGGCUCUAGCCUGGGUGACAGAGCAAGACCCUGUCUCAAAAAAAAAAAAAAAGAAUCAAUGAAGAUAUGAUUGGUAAUUGAAUUGUGUAUUCGUUUCCUAUUGCUGCUCUACCAAAUGACCAUAGACUAGAUGGGUUAGAGCAGCACAAGUUUAUUAUCUUACCAUCCUGAAAGGUCAGAGGCCUGAAAUUGGUUCCACUGGGCUAAAAUCAAGAUUUCAAUAGGGCUGCCUUCCUGCCGGGUAAUGUAGGAGAUCUGUUUUCUUGCCUUUUCCAGGUUCUGGAGGUUGCCUGCAUUCCUUGGCUCCUGAAUCUCUAUCAUCUUCAAAGCCAGAAAUUUCCUUUUGAGUCUUUCUGAGGCUGCAUCACUCUGACCUUGACUCUUCCAUCUCCAUCUUCAUACUUAAAGGAUGCUGGUGAUUACGUUGGGCCCUCCCGUACAAUCUAGGAUACAUUUUUAACCUUAAGGUCAGUUUAUUAGCAACCAUAAUACCCCCCUUGGAUAUAAUGUAGCAUAUUCAUAGGUUUCAGAAAUUAGGACAUGGACAUCUUUGGGGGAAAGGGAGGAAGCCAUUAUUCUGCCUACCAUAGACCAUAGACCAUUCUGCCUACCAUUAUUUUACCAUAUGGAGGUAAAAUAAAUAAAAGAUAACACCAAGCUUUUAUAAUUGAGAAACUGUAAAGACAAGGGUACACAUGACAGAAAUAAAGAAGCUGAAGAGGGGAAACUGAUAGGGGGGCAAAUCAUCUGAGAAAUGUCGUGCUUUAAUUUGUGGUGUUCUAUUCAGAUGAAAUAUCCCAACAGGCAUUAUGAAAGCUGAGGGUUAGAAAUGUUGCUAGUUAGUGCUAACUCCUACUGUAGUAAGACCUUUUUCAUGUUCUUAUUUUUUUCUAUCAGUAUGUUUCCUUAUAUUCAACACUUUUUGGCAGUAAAACUUAAAGACAGAAUAUAUAUAAAUGUCUGCUAUGCAUGACAGAUUUCAUAUUAUGAUUAACAUGCCUUACUAUUCCAGAAUUUAGUUAUCUUGCCUUUAAAAUGAUUUUCUCAUGGACACAUAGUGUUAUAUUAUGUAUAAGAAGCUUAAAAAAGGUUCUAUGUGUUUCUUAUAGUGCCAGUGUUUUAAUGGUAUUCUAUACAACUUCAGAUGAAAACUCUUCUAUUUAAUAGAUGCAGUAUUCAAAGUUGAAAGACAGUUAUCUUUAUAAACUAAAAUAACAGCAGUUGGCUGUGAUUAAAAACAUUUUCAGAUAGUUGCACAUAUCACUAACAGGUACCACUGCAAAUUAUUCCAAAUAGCAUUCCAGAGCCAGUGCCAACUUUCUAUCAUUUUGAGAAAUUUAUUUCCCUAAGUAUACUGCUUCUAAAGUUUAUUCUGAUUCUGUGAUUGGUCAAUGCUGAUAGGGUACAAGAAAAAACAAGAUAGCAAGACUUAUAUGGUACGGCAAUUAAAACAGCACUUUAUUAACAUAAGGCAAGACAAAUAGACUAAGGGGAAAGAAUAAAUAAUUCAGAAACACAAAAAUCUAUACAGGAAACUUGAUAUACAACACUUAUAAAUCAGUAGGGCAAGGGCUGUGGGACAAGUAGCGAUUUGAGGAAAAGGGUAAAAGUAUUUAUCUAUUUUAUACAAUACAAAAAAUAAAUUUCAGGUGGAUUAACAUCCAUAUAUGACAACCAAAACCUUACAAUGUUUAGAAAAAAUAUAGCAGAAUAUGCUCAUAUCACUAAAAUUCCUGGCCAUUAGGACAGAGAUGGUUAAAUUUAAUGAUACAAAAAUUUAAAAUUUGCAUCUGACAACAAUGCUAUUUAAAAUUUUUAAAUACAAGCCAAAAUUGGGAAAUACAGAUUUUUGAAAUAUGUAUAACUAACAGAGGAUUAUUAUCCAGACUAUAUAAACAGUCCUUGCAAAGGAAAAGAAAAACAUUCACAGAAGCAACACCUAAAUAGCAACAAACACAUGAAAAAAAAGUUUGAUCUCACCAUAAUUCAAGAAAAUAAAAUUAAAAUGCAAUGAGGUAUUAUUUCAUUACCAUCAAAUUGACAAAAAAUUUGAAAUGAUAAUUUUAAAUGAUGAUCAGGGGUUGGAGGUAAUAAUAUUUCAAUAUUUCAACCACUGCCAGCAAGGAUGCAAUUUGGUAUAAGAUUUGAAAAUAAGCUUAUACUGUACUUUAUUUAAACUGAUCAUAACCUAUAACCUAGAAACUUCCAAUUUCAGGUAUAUACCCCUAGAUAAAUAUAUGUAGACAUGCCCACAGAAACAUAUUCAAGAAAUGUUUUUUUCCCAGUAUUUUUUGUAGUGAUGAAGAUUUGGAAACAACUUAUAUUUUCACCACUAGAACAAUAGAUAUUAAUUGUGUUAUUUUAGCACAAUGGAAUACUAUACAGAAUUUAAGUAUAUAAACUAGAUCUACAUAUGUUUAUAUGGACAGAUUUAAACUUUUAAAACACCACACAAUGUGUAAAAAGCAAGCUGUGAAGUCUAUUUUUUCAUUAUGCCAUUUAUGUAAAAUGUAAAAAACAUUCCAAAUAGACUCAUGUUUUAUUUAUAGACAUACAUAUAAUUAGUA
This 4228-nucleotide long non-coding RNA is filed under the name Macaca mulatta (Rhesus monkey). Its description in RNAcentral is "lncRNA (ENSMMUG00000057780.1)". The record is from RNAcentral. Lineage: Eukaryota; Metazoa; Chordata; Mammalia; Primates; Cercopithecidae.